CAGAGACUCUUACAGAUGUGAGGCUGCCAACCCAGUCAGCAAGGAGACAGCUGUUGUUCCAAAUCCCUGUAUAGAGAGUGAUCCCUCCAAGGUGGCAGAUGGUGAUGAGAGGACUCAAGGUUGUCUUAUUAUUGCUGUAAUCUGCGUUUUGGUUGCCUCAGGACUUGUUGGACUUGCAAUAUAUCUUAAGAGGAGAAACGGACACUCACAUACAGAUUCACCUGAAAGAGAGCAAGAUGACAUUCACUAUGCAGAGAUAACUCACAUUAAACCAGCAGAUAACCAGGUUAGUAAUAAUGCUACAGGCUGAUAAACAUAGGAGAUGUAAUUCAGCAGCUUUAGCAGCCUCAUGUCUACAACUGUAGGCUUUAGCUCUGUGCCAGUGGGUUAAUGUGGUCUUGAGUUGCACAGACCACCUGAGUUUGAUAACCGGCCUGAUGUCACUGCAACCAGUUUUGCCCAUAUGAAAUGUUUGGGUUGUACAAUGAGAAGCCACACUUCAUAUUGUACAUACAGUACCAGUCAAACGUUUGGACACACCUACCCAUUCAACUUUCCUCACAACUGCAGACCAC
Molecule: non-coding RNA, 575 nt
Organism: Salvelinus sp. IW2-2015
Lineage: Eukaryota; Metazoa; Chordata; Actinopteri; Salmoniformes; Salmonidae
Source: RefSeq, a predicted model, not a curated record